UCUGGAAUUAGGGAUUUUUGGAAUUCGCGCAUUGCAACAAAGAAACCCCAACUAGUUACCUUUCUCAAUUCUAGCUGUAGCCUUUCUGCCAGAAUCUCGUCGCUUGGCUUACCGGAGCCUCGCCGAAACAUUUAAGAGAAUCGCACGCUUGCACACUGCUGAGUCAGGUCUCCACCGGCUGUUUUUCACUAUUAUUUAGUGUUUUAUAACAUUUUAUUAAUGUUAAUUGACUGUUAAUACUUUAUUUAAUAGUAAUUAGCUAUUGACUAAGACUGUUGGCUGUUGAAAGUGUUUGUGUUAUUAAAAUUAAAAUGAGAUGUUUUGGGAAUAAAAUAGGGUAACCAUGAUCUCCUCGAAUAAAAAGUGAGGAAAUGGUUGAUAGGAUAAAAGAAGGUAAUUCUGGUGAUCUUGAGUAGACCACCUCGACUAGGUGUUAAUCUUGAGACCAUGAUCAGACCAUCUCGACUAGGUGGUAACUUCAAUAAGCAUGAGCAGACCACCUCGAUCAGGUGGUAAUCUUGAGACCAUGAGUAGACCACCUCGACUAGGAGGUAAUUUUGGUAACCAUGAGCUGACCACCUCGACUAGGUGGUAAUUCUUAGGACCUUAAGCAAGUUAUCUUGACCAAGUGGAAAUUCUUGUGACCUCAAGCAAACGAGUUUGAGGAGGCAUUGGACCGAGUCACCAAGAAGAAGGACUCAUUAAAAUAACCGCCACAAAUCACCUUUAAAAAAUAGGGCAUGAAUUUAAUUCAUUAAUUGCCACAAUCUAAGGUCGUGGGUGUGGGGUGUUUAUAAAAACCCAAAGAAAAUCAUACCAGAGAGAGGUUGAACUUUAAAACCCAAAGAAAAUCAUACCAGAGAGAUGUUGAACUUUCUUUUUUAAUUUUUAUUUUAUUCUUUUGAUUACAUUUUACUUAAGAUUAUUUAUUUAUAAAAACUAGAAAUGACAUAUUUUGUUUUUCUUGUAAACCCGAUAACUGACUUGAUGCUGGAAAAUUUUUUGGCACCUCUAAUUAUUCUCUGUAAUUUCAUAUACUUGUUGAUCAUCAGUUUCAAGAUUAUCUGCUUGUAAAUAUUCUGCUCAUAGUCAAAGAAUAUUCUUGGAGAUCAACAAGCAUCUUCCCACCAAACAAAUUUAAUGCUGAUGCAGUGAUUUGAGUCACUAACCAACUUGUUCAGAUUUGGGCAUCAACAUGAGUAAUUUUUGUUUUAAAAUAUUAUUUUAACAAAAUUAGUAUUGAUAAUGAUGUGGCUAUUGAGAGCUGACUUUUGUUUCUUAUUUUUAUUGUGUAUACUAGCAGUGUUUUAGCUGAAAGGAGGGGAAGUCAUACUUUUGAAGGCUGUGUUGAAGUAACCUAAACCUGAUUGAGGUUGGGAAUGAUAGAGGAUUAAACACUUGAAAUGGAAGAAUCAAAGACGACAGGGAAAAGGAAAACACCUGAAGAAGAUUCACAUGUCAGGGGAACCCCUAAGGAAGAAUCGACCAAGAACCAACGAAAUCCGACACGCUCAAGUGUACAUGAGGUUGCAGUACCCAG
Molecule: long non-coding RNA, 1540 nt
Filed under: Citrus x clementina
Lineage: Eukaryota; Viridiplantae; Streptophyta; Magnoliopsida; Sapindales; Rutaceae
Description: Citrus clementina (C. clementina) long non-coding RNA (CCLE_LNC004573)
Source: RNAcentral